This 108-nucleotide ribosomal RNA is filed under the name Bordetella hinzii. The record is from RNAcentral. Lineage: Bacteria; Pseudomonadati; Pseudomonadota; Betaproteobacteria; Burkholderiales; Alcaligenaceae.
UGACGACCAUAGCAAGGUGGCCCCACUCCUUCCCAUCCCGAACAGGACAGUGAAACGCCUUCGCGCCGAUGAUAGUGGACAUUCGUCUGUGAAAGUAGGUCAUCGUCA